RNAcentral lists this transfer RNA (86 nucleotides) under Cryptosporidium parvum. RNAcentral describes it as "tRNA-Leu". It matches the Rfam family "tRNA". From Rfam's summary of the family: Transfer RNA (tRNA) molecules are approximately 80 nucleotides in length. Their secondary structure includes four short double-helical elements and three loops (D, anti-codon, and T loops). Lineage: Eukaryota; Apicomplexa; Conoidasida; Eucoccidiorida; Cryptosporidiidae. The record is from RNAcentral.
GCGUGGAUGGCCGAGUUGGUCUAAGGCGUUAGACUCAAGAUCUAAUGAGCGUAUGCUCUCAUGGGUUCGAAUCCCAUUCUACGCAC